GACGAACGCUGGCGGCGUGCCUAACACAUGCAAGUUGAGCGACGAACCAGGGCUUGCCCUGGGGCAAAGCAGCGAACGGGUGAGUAACACGUGGGUAACCUACCCCGAUAACCGGGACAACCCGAGGAAACUCGGGCUAAUACCGGAUGUGCUCACUGAACUUCGGUUCAGUGCGUAAAGGAAGCUACGGCCUCCGUAUCGGGAGGGGCCCGCGGCCCAUUAGCUAGUUGGUGAGGUAACGGCUCACCAAGGCCGCGAUGGGUAGCUGGUCUGGGAGGACGAUCAGCCACACUGGGACUGAGACACGGCCCAGACUCCUACGGGAGGCAGCAGUGGGGAAUCUUGCGCAAUGCGCAAAAGCGUGACGCAGCAACGCCGCGUGGGGGAAGAAGGCCUUCGGGUUGUAAACCCCUUUCAGGAGGGACGAAGGUUCGGCGGUGAAUAGCCGUCCGGACUGACGGUACCUCCACAAGAAGCCCCGGCUAACUACGUGCCAGCAGCCGCAGUAA
RNAcentral lists this ribosomal RNA (509 nucleotides) under uncultured bacterium. RNAcentral describes it as "partial 16S ribosomal RNA". It matches the Rfam family "Bacterial small subunit ribosomal RNA", at positions 28 to 523 of the family's 1533-position model. The record is from RNAcentral.